Molecule: transfer RNA, 90 nt
Filed under: Denitrobaculum tricleocarpae
Lineage: Bacteria; Pseudomonadati; Pseudomonadota; Alphaproteobacteria; Rhodospirillales; Rhodospirillaceae
Description: Rhodospirillaceae bacterium R148 tRNA-Ser
Rfam family: tRNA
About the family: Transfer RNA (tRNA) molecules are approximately 80 nucleotides in length.
Source: RNAcentral
GGAGGGGUGCCGGAGUGGUCGAACGGGACGGUCUCGAAAACCGUUGUGCCUUUGCGGGUACCGUGGGUUCGAAUCCCACCCCCUCCGCCA